RNAcentral lists this ribosomal RNA (1329 nucleotides) under metagenome. RNAcentral describes it as "bacterial LSU rRNA". It matches the Rfam family "Bacterial large subunit ribosomal RNA", at positions 1578 to 2925 of the family's 2925-position model. The record is from RNAcentral.
GAUAAGUAGGGAAGUCCAGGCCCCUGGCUGUCAAGAAAAGCCGCUAUUGUUUUAUAUGUGCCCGUACCGCAAACCGACACAGGUGGAUGAGGAGAGAAUCCUAAGGCCGACGGGAGAAGUAUUGUUAAGGAACUCGGCAAAAUGACACCGUAACUUCGGGAGAAGGAGUGCCAUGAGAGUGGCCGCAGAGAAAUGGCCCAAGCAACUGUUUAGCAAAAACACAGGUCUAUGCAAAACCGCAAGGUGAAGUAUAUGGGCUGACGCCUGCCCGGUGCUGGAAGGUUAAGGGGAGAGGUUAGCGCAAGCGAAGCUUUGAACUUAAGCCCCAGUAAACGGCGGCCGUAACAAUAACGGUCCUAAGGUAGCGAAAUUCCUUGUCGGGUAAGUUCCGACCCGCACGAAAGGCGUAAUGAUUUGGGCACUGUCUCAACGAUACACCCGGUGAAAUUGAAAUACCAGUGAAGAUGCUGGUUACCUGCGCCAGGACGGAAAGACCCCAUGGAGCUUUACUCCAGUUUGAUACUGGGAUUCGGCAUGGUAUGUACAGGAUAGGUGGGAGACUGAGAAGGUAUGACGUCAGUUGUACCGGAGUCGCUGUUGGGAUACCACCCUUACCAUGUUGGAUUUCUAACCUGUGGCCGUGAACCUGUCAGGGGACAAUGUCAGGCGGGGAGUUUGACUGGGGCGGUCGCCUCCGAAAGGGUAUCGGAGGCGCUCAAAGGUUCCCUCAGAAUGGUUGGAAACCAUUCGAAGAGUGCAAAGGCAGAAGGGAGCUUGACUGUGACACCGACGGGUGGAGCAGGUACGAAAGUAGGACUUAGUGAUCCGGUGGUAUAAAGUGGGAUUGCCAUCGCUCAACGGAUAAAAGCUACCCUGGGGAUAACAGGCUUAUCACUCCCAAGAGUUCACAUCGACGGAGUGGUUUGGCACCUCGAUGUCGGCUCAUCGCAUCCUGGAGCUGUAGCAGGUUCCAAGGGUUGGGCUGUUCGCCCAUUAAAGCGGUACGCGAGCUGGGUUCAGAACGUCGUGAGACAGUUCGGUCCCUAUCCGGCGCAGGCGGAGGAAAUUUGAUAGGAGCUGUCCUUAGUACGAGAGGACCGGGAUGGACGGACCGCUGGUGUAUCUGUUGUACUGCCAAGUGCAUCGCAGAGUAGCCAAGUCUGGAAGGGAUAAACGCUGAAGGCAUCUAAGCGUGAAGCCCCCCUAAAGAUAAGAUUUCCCAUACCGAAAGGUAGUAAGACCCCUUGAAGACGACGAGGUAGAUAGGGCAGAGGUGGAAGUGCGGUAACGCAUGGAGCUGACUGUUACUAAUCGGUCGAGGCUUUAACC